GACGAACGCUGGCGGCGUGCUUAACACAUGCAAGUCGAACGGAAAGGCCCUGCUUGUGUGGGGUGCUCGAGUGGCGAACGGGUGAGUAACACGUGAGUAACCUGCCCUUGACUUUGGGAUAACUUCAGGAAACUGGGGCUAAUAUCGGAUAGGAGCCCCUGCUGCAUGGUGGGGGGUGGAAAGUUUCGGCGGUUGGGGAUGGACGCGCGGCUGAUCAGCUUGUUGGUGGGGUAGUGGCUUACCAAGGCUGUGACGGGUAGCCGGCCUGGGAGGGUGACCGGCCACAUUGGGACUAAGAGACGGCGCAGACUCCAACGGGAGACAGAAGUGGGGAAUAUUGCACAGUGGGCGGAAGCCUGAGGCAGCAACGCCGCGUGCGGGAUGACGGCCUUCGGGUUGUAAACCGCUUUCGCCUGUGACGAAGCGUGAGUGACGGUAAUGGAUAAAGAAGCACCGGCUAACUACGUG
Molecule: ribosomal RNA, 468 nt
Filed under: uncultured bacterium
Lineage: Bacteria
Description: partial 16S ribosomal RNA
Rfam family: Bacterial small subunit ribosomal RNA
Source: RNAcentral